GAUAAACGCUGGCGGCGUGCCUAAUACAUGCAAGUCGAACGCUGGAAACCUAUUUCGGUAGGUUGAAGGAGUGGCGAACGGGUGAGUAAUACAUAAGCAACCUGCCCACGAAGACCGGGAUAAUCCCUGGAAACGGGGACUAAUACCGGAUAGGCAACGAGGAGGCAUCUUCUUGUUGUUAAAGAUUAAAAGCACUGGUGGAUGGGCUUAUGGCGCAUUAGCUGGUUGGUGAGGUAACGGCCCACCAAGGCGAUGAUGCGUAGCCGGCCUGAGAGGGUGAACGGCCACAUUGGGACUGAGACACGGCCCAGACUCC
Molecule: ribosomal RNA, 316 nt
Filed under: uncultured Bulleidia sp.
Lineage: Bacteria; Bacillati; Bacillota; Erysipelotrichia; Erysipelotrichales; Erysipelotrichaceae
Description: bacterial SSU rRNA
Rfam family: Bacterial small subunit ribosomal RNA
Source: RNAcentral